Molecule: ribosomal RNA, 252 nt
Filed under: uncultured bacterium
Lineage: Bacteria
Description: partial 16S ribosomal RNA
Rfam family: Bacterial small subunit ribosomal RNA
Source: RNAcentral
CACGAGGGUGCGAGCGUUGUCCGGAAUUAUUGGGCGUAAAGAGCUCGUAGGCGGUCCGUCACGUCGGAUGUGAAAUUCCAGGGCUCAACCCUGGACCUGCAUUCGAUACGGGCGGACUAGAGUUCGGUAGGGGAGACUGGAAUUCCUGGUGUAGCGGUGAAAUGCGCAGAUAUCAGGAGGAACACCGGUGGCGAAGGCGGGUCUCUGGGCCGAUACUGACGCUGAGGAGCGAAAGCGUGGGGAGCGAACAGG